This 285-nucleotide long non-coding RNA is filed under the name Panax ginseng (ginseng). Its description in RNAcentral is "long non-coding RNA (PGIN_LNC000733)". The record is from RNAcentral. Lineage: Eukaryota; Viridiplantae; Streptophyta; Magnoliopsida; Apiales; Araliaceae.
UUUACUGUGGGGUGGUAUGGGGGAAGGGGGAUAGUGAAAUCUUGAUGAGUGCAAAUUUAUAAUUUCUGAGUGGUCAAGUUUCUAUGUUAAUGAUGUGCUUUGAGGUAUUUUUGGCAAGAGACCCUAAAAAAAUUAUGCAAAAUUCCCUAGUUGGUGGUAAUUCUGCCUGCCAUUUGGGGGUUGGGUAUUUUUAUUCUAGUGUUUUUUUCAUUGUAUGUACUGUUUAUUAAUUUGUACUACAGAAUUCCCCAAAAAUUAAGAUUAUUAUCGACUUUAGAAAUUGAC